CCAGAAAUGUAUUUUUCUUUUGAAUUUCAAUACACUUGCUUAUACAGUAUAAUCCAGUACAAUUUAUUGUUGAAAUUUUUAUCACCAGCUCCAGCUCUAAACUCAAUUAGUGUCAGUUUUCUACAUAAUAUUUGACACAAAAUGUCAUUUGUGGAGUGCUGAAUUUGUGAUACUUAAUGCAAUAGUGCUGUACUUUACAUAUGUGUCUAAUAAUUUUAAUAUCAUUAUGUUGUUCUAAGUCGAUUAAACAUAUUUAAUUGCAUUAGUUGCAAGCAAAGAUUUAACAAAUCUAAACAAAAUUUAUUUGAAUUCAUAUUCAGUUAAAAUACAUUAAUAAUUUUAAUCAGACUAAACUGUAAAAAUGAUUGACUUUUAGUUAGGUGAAUGAGUCAAGUUCUCUAAACGUACAGUCGAACUACAACAAUGAACUAGAAAAACUACAAUUUGAACAGAAAUUAAAUCAUGCACGUAUUAUAGCCUAUAAACUUUUUGUUUAAUGCGCAUGCGCUAAAAUACUACGUCAUGACGGCACACUACUUCACCAGAGUUUGAAAAAUGCACUUUCAGCCAUCUUUCUGUGAUCGCGAUGCGCGAGGCAACAUUGCUGAUCAAAGAAGAAAACAAAGGAGCGCACGUUUGGAUGACUAGACGUUAUGUACUACAAAUGAAGAAGCAAGAUCAGUACAGAUCUGUCAAUGGAGAUACAGUGCAAGCUGUGUGGAAUCAAAGACCCGUAUUGAUGAGGCCAGUGUCAGUGAAGAUGGUGUGGCCACUGGAAUCCUUGUGUUUGUGGGAAAUGUGAAGGAGCUUCUCCCAGGAUUCUACAACAGUGUUGACCUGAUGACUGAGGUAAUUCAUCUUGGGUGAUGCAGUUGCGGUCAAAAGUUUACUUACACCUUGCAGAAUGAACUGCUUCAUCAGGGAAGUACUAAAUAAAA
Megalobrama amblycephala (Wuchang bream) is the source of this 938-nucleotide long non-coding RNA. RefSeq lists it as uncharacterized. NCBI's taxonomy places the organism in Eukaryota, Metazoa, Chordata, Actinopteri, Cypriniformes, Xenocyprididae. The transcript is spliced from 3 exons. The record is from RefSeq and is a predicted model, not a curated record.